RNAcentral lists this small RNA (786 nucleotides) under Pongo abelii (Sumatran orangutan). RNAcentral's name for it is "retained intron". The record is from RNAcentral. Lineage: Eukaryota; Metazoa; Chordata; Mammalia; Primates; Hominidae.
CUAGCUCCCUCUGAGUUGCGCUGGGCUUGGCUGCUGCACCAUGACCCUGGAGGCUAUCCGCUACACGCGGGGCUCCCUGCAGAUCCUAGACCAGCUGCUGCUGCCCCAGCAGAGCCGCUACGAGGCGGUGGGCUCGGUGCGCCAGGCCUGGGAGGCCAUCCGCGCCAUGAAGGUGCGGGGCGCCCCGGCCAUAGCCCUGGUGGGCUGUCUCAGCCUCGCCGUGGAGCUGCAGGCGGGCGCGGGGGGACCGGGACUCGCCGCGCUCGUGGCCUUCGUGCGCGACAAGCUGAGCUUCCUCGUCACCGCCCGGCCCACCGCUGUCAACAUGGCCCGCGCCGCCCGCGACCUGGCUGAUGUUGCAGCCCAGGAGGCGGAACAGGAGGGCGCUACGGAAGAGGCGGUCCGGGAGAGAGUGAUCUGCUGCACCGAGGACAUGCUGGAGAAAGACCUCAGAGACAACCGAAGCAUUGGGGACCUAGGAGCCCGCCACCUCCUGCAGCGGGUGGCCCCUAGCGGUGGCAAGGUGACUGUGCUGACCCACUGUAACACCGGUGCUCUGGCCACCGCUGGCUAUGGUACAGCCCUAGACGUGAAAUGGAGCUAUGCGAGCAUUGGGAAGAGCAUACCAGGCAGAGGGAACUGCCACUGCGAGGGCCCCUGGGUGGGACUGUGCUCGGUAAGACUUUGGCAAUCCACGUCCAGACUAGGAGCCUGCACCCCUGACCAAUGGACCACCCUGUCUGUUUGCCUCUCCCCUGGGCCUUCUCCUGGUGCGUGGGGCCCCGG